AUCCAGUGUUGUUUCCAUGUGGAAGAGAAGCGUGGCGUCCCGUCGCCAAAACGGCUGAGACUCCACGGCCGAUGGGUCAGUGCGGUCACCACAUUCGGAUCCGCCUGCCGCAUCUGAAGAGGAGGCUUACACACACACAUACACAGCUACAGAUAGACAAUCACUUUCACCCACUGGAGUGGGUAGGCGGGACUGCGAGCAGCGCUUUUUAGCUGGUGGACCAUAUGGCUGCCGCCCUCAUUGGACUAUAUUCACAUCCCGUUGCAAUGUUAUGUCUAUGUGUUUAUGUGCUUGAUUGCUGGGGCAUUUCCCCCCUGUACUCACACUGCCCUAAUUCAAGGACAGUGUGAGAGGGUGUUUUUUUAUCGCCUCUCUCUUCCCGAAAUGUAUCUCAUUUCCUCUUUCUAAAAGCUAUCUUUCAUCGACCUGCAUGGUCAAAGGGGGUCCAAUUUCACUGCAUGAAAGUAUAUGUGACAAAUAAAGGCUUCAUCAUCAUCAUCA
Danio rerio (zebrafish) is the source of this 501-nucleotide non-coding RNA. NCBI's taxonomy places the organism in Eukaryota, Metazoa, Chordata, Actinopteri, Cypriniformes, Danionidae. The record is from RefSeq and is a predicted model, not a curated record.